AAUACUGAAACUGUUGAUCCAUUUUUGCUUAAGAGUUGCAGGGUAAAUGGUGCUGGGCCCUUUGGGACUACUUCUGGUCUGUCAGUAAAGCUGUGGUCUCCUAUGCUAUUUCUGAAGGACAAAGUUUAAAAGAUGUCUAACUUUUCUUUCCCUCUUAAUGAAUUGAUAAUAAUAUAAACAAAUCGUCAUAGUUACGAAUGCUAAUGAAUUUGGAGACAUGUUGAAACAUUAUUGUAUGUAAAGUAAUAGUUACGAAAAAUCAACAUACUACUUUGAGGAUGAACUAGAUACAGGUUUAGUUUGGGGUUUUCUCCUCUACUUUUCCCCCUCAGUGCAGUACUUGUAUCCUAGGUCACUUUGAUUUCUGCAACUUCAGUGUGCUGCUCUAGUUGUAAGAGGUAGUUCUUACUCUACGGAAAUUGUGCCCCUCCCUGGGUGAGAUGAUGUAAUGUUAGUUAUGACUCAGCCAUGCAGAAAAUUGUCUGCAGGAAGAGGCAGUAGAAAUGCUGUGAUACCCUCUUAAACUUAACAUUUUUUAGUGGCAUACUAAAAUGGUGUUCUAAAAGGCAUUUUCUAUGGGUUGUAGUUACUUUAAAAGGUGCAUGUACCCAACAACCAACCUUAUAUUUUCGUUAGGAGACUGGUUUGUGAAAUCUGAACCUCUUCCAAAUGCUUACUCCAGAUCGUCAGGAUUUUUUCAAUUGCAUAUGCUUGUGGUGCUUCAGAGAGCACACGAUUGAUGGAUGUCCAGUCCUGUGACCACUUGUGAGGUAGAUGUUACUGUCGGCAGUGGAGUUGUCCACUGGACUGUGGACCCUGCUGGUGUGUCAUCCCACAGGUUGUGAUGAGGGAUCACGUACCUGGAGGUGACAGAAUGACAUGUGAUAUGAAGAAACUGUUAAAUAGCCAACAGGAAAAGCCAACAUCUACGGCCUUGUCACAUCCUAAAUCUUCCCUCACUUACACCUGCCGUGGAGUACCUCUACAGAGAGCUGAACUACUUCUCUUGUUUGCUGCAGCCUCAGAGUGCUGCUGUAUAAAGCAGAGACACCUAAAAUGUCAUGGUGCAGCACCAGUUGUUUCAGAUAUACACUGGAGUAUAUUCAGGUGUAGUAUAACUGACUCUUAAUUUGGAGUUGGUCUGGUAGUGCUGAUAAACUGCAAAUAAUUGUGAUACAUUGUACAUAUUGUUACAGUGAAAGGAACUUUUACUGAAGACUGAAUUUCCAAAUUCUUCAAGAAUAAUACAGUGUGUGUGUAAGGAAGUACAUUGCCAUACCCUAGCAUCUUAAAUGUACUUGAGUAUUACAGAAAAUUUCCAGCCUCAGAAGUUUCAUAUUGAUACAGGAAAUUAAGCUUUUUGUUGAGUACUUUUCCUCAUGUUAGCGAAGUGUGUGCUUCACAUUUUGUUUCACUUUCUAUAGUGAAAGGGAGGUUCUGUCUAAAAUACCAGUAUAAUGAUCUUUUAUUUGUCAUUUCCAUAAUAAAAAUUGUUAUUAAUCUAA
Falco peregrinus (peregrine falcon) is the source of this 1505-nucleotide long non-coding RNA. RefSeq lists it as uncharacterized. Lineage: Eukaryota; Metazoa; Chordata; Aves; Falconiformes; Falconidae. The record is from RefSeq and is a predicted model, not a curated record. The transcript is spliced from 2 exons.